GAUGAACGCUAGCGGCAGGCUUAAUACAUGCAAGUCGAGGGGCAGCACGGGUAGCAAUACCUGGUGGCGACCGGCAAACGGGUGCGGAACACGUACGCAACCUUCCCAGAACAGGUGAAUAGCCCUCCGAAAGGAGGAUUAAUACACCGUAAUAUAUAGAUGUGGCAUCACAUUUAUCUUAAAGGUAGCAAUAUCGGUUUUGGAUGGGCGUGCGCCUGAUUAGGUAGUUGGGCGGGUAACGGCCCACCAAGCCUCCGAUCAGUAACUGGUGUGAGAGCACGACCAGUCACACGGGCACUGAGACACGGGCCCGACUCCUACGGGAGGCAGCAGUAAGGAAUAUUGGUCAAUGGACGCAAGUCUGAACCAGCCAUGCCGCGUGAAGGAUGAAGGCCCUCUGGGUUGU
RNAcentral lists this ribosomal RNA (406 nucleotides) under uncultured bacterium. Its description in RNAcentral is "bacterial SSU rRNA". It matches the Rfam family "Bacterial small subunit ribosomal RNA", at positions 28 to 426 of the family's 1533-position model. The record is from RNAcentral.